GUCUGUAUGUGCAGAUAUAAACUUAAAAAAAUACACCGCCCCCUUUCCUAGGAAGUUGGUUGGCCGCCACUGCCUCGAGACUAGCGCAGAGAUAAUGCCAGGCCUUCUAAGGCUUCUAAGAAUCAGCCUGUGGUUAUCCAUGACCCUUUCUCCGAAGGGUACUCUUCAAACCAGGUCCAGAGCCCUCUAGGCGACAGGUGGCCUCCGCCCGGGAAGUAAAGCCAGGGAUCCUUGAAGAACCUGUUCAGCCGUUAGGGAGGACUAAUCUGACCACCACUGCUGUGGAGCCCUUAAUGUAGACAGACCUGGCUAGACCUGGCCAUGAGCCCAGUCAGCAAGUACAGAUUCUGGAAUAGUGAGGAGGGGUGCUUCUUGCAGGUGGGAGCAAGCCAGAGCGGUGGUGGCUUGGGAUGUGUUUCUGGAUGAGACACACACAGGGACCGCGGGAGCUCAGAAGGGUGAUAAAAUACCCUUAGCCACAAAUUUGGAAAUAACAGGCCUCAUGCUGCAGGCAGACAGACAUGCACUCCAAAGACACACACACAGGGAAGUACCAUGUGAGAAAUACACAACAUUGCCACAUUCCCAUGAGCUUGUCCUAAACACAUACAGAUAUGUACUGUCACAGAGACUGAAAUCCACUGUCAAGCAGGCAUGCUGCCAGUUAUGUCCCAGCAUGACACCAGAGAUGCAGUUACAGAAAGGCACUCCAGACAGAUUCACAUACACCUACACUGCCAUAUGACAAGGACACAAAAAUGUCCUGUCAGACACACCACCAAAACUUGUCACAAAGAUACUUGUACCAUCAGACAUGCAGUGUCACAGAAAGACUAGUACUAUUCCAGAAAUGAGACCCAAAGUCUGUCACAGGAAGACACACAGACGCUCAAGACACACAUGCACUGCUCCAAAGACAUACAUAUACUUAUGUGAUAGAGCCACAGAUAGGCAGUAUCACAAAAACAGACACGGAUCCACCCAGUCAGUUGCUCGCGCUCUCUCUCUCUCUCUCUCUCACACACACACACACACACACCAGCAGACAUGCAGCACUGUCAAACUAUCCAGAAAUAGCUACCCAGAAUCUGUCACAGGAAUACAAACGGACAUUCAUCCACCCUAUCGGAAAGAAACCACAGAUGCACUGUCACAGACAGACCCACACAGACAUGCACUUGUCUCAGAAACAGACACAAACUGUCAGAGAUUGAGUCCCACACGCAGUCCCCAUCUGACACACCUGAAACAAGCCCUCAUCUCACACACAACUAGAGACACUCUGAGAUGCACAAAGGCUUAG
This 1303-nucleotide long non-coding RNA is filed under the name Bos grunniens (domestic yak). RNAcentral describes it as "lncRNA (ENSBGRG00000018561.1)". The record is from RNAcentral. Lineage: Eukaryota; Metazoa; Chordata; Mammalia; Artiodactyla; Bovidae.